CAACAAUCUCUUCCUUUUCUCUCUUCCUCGCCAUUUUCACACACAAAACCCUCGACCCCCCCAUUCCCACCACCGGUGGCGGCUCAAACAGAUAAACCCCAUAACUACCACAAAUCUGAACCCCAAACAACAGUCACAAAAUAAAAAUAAAGCUAAUGAUUUACCCUUUUCGAGAUUGUCCUUCUUCCGAUCUUCGGACUUUUCCGAUUUGUUUUCUAAUCUCGUGUUCUUCUUCUUGCUUAUAGGUGACCGUAGCGGUAGAUAA
This is a non-coding RNA of Vicia faba (fava bean), 265 nucleotides long. The record is from the annotation of a GenBank genome assembly. Lineage: Eukaryota; Viridiplantae; Streptophyta; Magnoliopsida; Fabales; Fabaceae.